This 164-nucleotide ribosomal RNA is filed under the name uncultured bacterium. Its description in RNAcentral is "partial 16S rRNA". It matches the Rfam family "Bacterial small subunit ribosomal RNA", at positions 355 to 511 of the family's 1533-position model. The record is from RNAcentral.
UAGGGAAUCUUCGGCAAUGGACGAAAGUCUGACCGAGCAACGCCGCGUGAGUGAAGAAGGUUUUCGGAUCGUAAAGCUCUGUUGUUAAAGAAGAACACGUAUGAGAGUAACUGUUCAUACGUUGACGGUAUUUAACCAGAAAGUCACGGCUAACUACGUUCCAG